UUACAUCUCUUUCGGUAGGCAUUUUACGUAGGUGCUGCAUGGUUGUCGUCAGCUCGUGCCGUGAGGUGUCGGGUUAAGUCCCAUAACGAGCGCAACCCCUACCUUAGUUGCCAUCAGGUUAAGCUGGGGACUCUAAAGGAACUGCCUACGCAAGUAGUGAGGAAGGCGGGGAUGACGUCAAAUCAGCACGGCCCUUACGUCCAGGGCUACACACGUGCUACAAUGGCCGAUACAGAGGGCAGCUACCUGGUGACAGGAUGCAAAUCUCCAAAGUCGGUCUCAGUUCGGAUCGGAGUCUGCAACCCGACUCCGUGAAGUUGGAUUCGCUAGUAAUCGCGCAUCAGCCAUGGCGCGGUGAAUACGUUCCCGGGCCUU
This 375-nucleotide ribosomal RNA is filed under the name uncultured Sphingobacteriales bacterium. RNAcentral describes it as "bacterial SSU rRNA". It matches the Rfam family "Bacterial small subunit ribosomal RNA", at positions 1009 to 1382 of the family's 1533-position model. The record is from RNAcentral. Lineage: Bacteria; Pseudomonadati; Bacteroidota; Sphingobacteriia; Sphingobacteriales.